AACAUCGCGCACCUGCGGGAACCUGCGGAGGGAUCAUUACAAAAGAGGGGCGGGUCGAGAGACUCGUCCGAAUGUGCGAUGCCGCAAGGCAUCGAUACACGCGCUUGUAUGUUUGUCAGAGUAAAAGGAUACACAAAUAUAGACAACUUUCAACAAUGGAUCU
This 163-nucleotide unclassified non-coding RNA is filed under the name soil metagenome. RNAcentral describes it as "partial contains 5.8S ribosomal RNA, internal transcribed spacer 2, and large subunit ribosomal RNA". The record is from RNAcentral.